Ochlerotatus camptorhynchus is the source of this 476-nucleotide long non-coding RNA. RefSeq lists it as uncharacterized. The transcript has 3 exons. Lineage: Eukaryota; Metazoa; Arthropoda; Insecta; Diptera; Culicidae. The record is from RefSeq and is a predicted model, not a curated record.
CGAAUUAGUCCGGGAAAGUGCCGAUGUGUCCGUCGCGAGUUUUGGUGGGCGAUUCGGUGUCCGACGUUGCGGUAAAUCAGCAAGUUUUCCGCUUGCUGGCUGCUGGUCUCUGCCUAGGAAAAGGAAGGCUGUUUUUCAGGAAAGUGCACCAGUACGAAGUCGGAUACCGGAAGCGAGUCCGAAGCUGGAUCCCGGUGGGGAGUUCGAAGCCGGCUCUCUGCAGUUCGUCAAUAAGGUAGAAGACUGGCAGCCCAAAACUUUCCGUGGAUCAUCUGUGGAAUCAUCUUUCAUUUCUCGCAUCUACUUGCAUCGUGCGUCAUCUUUAACCAGGAAAUCUUCAAAAUCGGCAUAAAUCUUCCUUCUAUCUACUCAGCGUGCGUACAGCUAGCCACAGCAAAACACAAUCUUUUCUGCAUCGUAGAUAGAGUCGUCCCCCUCGCUCAAAAAUGCUAUAACAAUCGCCAAGCUCGCUGUAA